This 370-nucleotide ribosomal RNA is filed under the name uncultured bacterium. Its description in RNAcentral is "bacterial SSU rRNA". It matches the Rfam family "Bacterial small subunit ribosomal RNA", at positions 527 to 896 of the family's 1533-position model. The record is from RNAcentral.
GAACGGUGCAAGCGUUACUCGGAAUUACUGGGCGUAAAGCGUGCGUAGGUGGUUUGUUAAGUCUGUCGUGAAAGCCCCGGGCUCAACCUGGAAUGGCGAUGGAUACUGGCAGGCUAGAGUGCGGUAGAGGAGAGUGGAAUUCCCGGUGUAGCAGUGAAAUGCGUAGAGAUCGGGAGGAACAUCAGUUGCGAAGGCGGCUCUCUGGACCAGCACUGACACUGAGGCACGAAAGCGUGGGGAGCAAACAGGAUUAGAUACCCUGGUAGUCCACGCCCUAAACGAUGCGAACUGGACGUUGGGAGCAACUAGGCUCUCAGUGUCGAAGCUAACGCGUUAAGUUCGCCGCCUGGGGAGUACGGUCGCAAGACUG